AUAUCUAUAUAUAUCUAUAUCUAUAUAUGUGUGUGUGUGUUUGUGUGUAAUAGACACACACACACACAUAUAUAUAUAUAUAUAUAUAUAUAUACAGAG
This 99-nucleotide microRNA precursor is filed under the name Podarcis lilfordi (Lilford's wall lizard). The record is from RNAcentral. Lineage: Eukaryota; Metazoa; Chordata; Lepidosauria; Squamata; Lacertidae.